CUGACCACCCACAAAUGCUGCAACAGGAGUGUGGGGAGACACCUACCGUAGCUGGCCUCUCCACAUGGUGGUUCUCAGCCGAAGGAGCCAGCACCCACAGUGGGGCCUGUCCUGUUGCUGACUUGCCCGGGUUUGGCUGAUGUAACUUAGGAUUUUCUAUGCCGCUGUCCCUGGAGGCCAUGGAAUGCACCAAGUGGUUCAGUUUCUCCUGCAGCUGUUUCAUCUGGACUAUGAGGAAGGAGAUGGAAAGAAAGGCAGCUUCACUGAAAAAUUCUACUUCACAGCUGGGCAUGAUGGUGCACAUCUUUAAUCCGAGGCAGAGAAAACAGAAAAGGAGGAAAAAAUUCAAUCAAAGAGGUCAAAAGAAGGCUAAUAUCCCUGGUGGAGACAGAUGAAUAACUUCAGUAAACGUCUGCACAGAGAGGCAUG
This is a long non-coding RNA of Peromyscus eremicus (cactus mouse), 429 nucleotides long. RefSeq lists it as uncharacterized. The transcript is spliced from 4 exons. The record is from RefSeq and is a predicted model, not a curated record. Lineage: Eukaryota; Metazoa; Chordata; Mammalia; Rodentia; Cricetidae.